UGAGUGCGAGCGGCUACGGCCGCGAAGUGGGUGAUGUCAAGCUUCCAAGAAAAGCCCUAUACCCGUUAAGGCAUGAUGGCCUGUACCCGAAACCGACACAGGUGGGGUGGUAGAGAAUACCGAGGGGCGCGAGGUAACUCUCUCUAAGGAACUCGGCAAAAUGGCCCCGUAACUUCGGGAGAAGGGGUGCCACCGCAAGGUGGUCGCAGUGAAGAGGCCCAGGCGACUGUUUACCAAAAACACAGGUCUCCGCUAAGUCGCAAGACGAUGUAUGGGGGCUGACGCCUGCCCAGUGCCGGAAGGUUAAGGAAGCUGGUCAGCGCAAGCGAAGCUGGCGACUGAAGCCCCGGUGAACGGCGGCCGUAACUAUAACGGUCCUAAGGUAGCGAAAUUCCUUGUCGGGUAAGUUCCGACCCGCACGAAAGGCGUAACGAUCUGGGCGCUGCCUCGGAGAGAGGCUCGGCGAAAUAGAAUUGUCUGUGAAGAUGCGGACUACGUGCACCCGGACAGAAAGACCCUAUGAAGCUUUACUGUAGCUUGGUAUUGUGCCCGGGCUCUGAAUGCGCAGGAUAGGUGGGAGGCUUUGAUCCAUGGCUUGCGGGUCAUGGUGAGCCGACGGUGAGAUACCACUCUUUCAGAGCUAGGGUUCUAACGGUCACCCGUUAUCCGGGGACCGGACAGUAUCAGGUGGGCAGUUUGACUGGGGCGGUCGCCUCCUAAAAGGUAACGGAGGCGCGCAAAGGUUUGCUCAGGCUGGUUGGAAAUCAGCCGACGAGUGCAAAAGCAGAAGCAAGCUUGACUGUGAGACCUACAAGUCGAACAGGGACGAAAGUCGCUUUAGUGAUCCGACGGUUCUGAGUGGAAGGGCCGUCGCUCAACGGAUAAAAGUUACUCUAGGAUAACAGGCUGAUCUCCCCCAAGAGUUCACAUCGACGGGGAGGUUUGGCACCUCGAUGUCGGCUCAUCGCAACCUGGGGCUGAAGUCGGUCCCAAGGGUUGGGCUGUUCGCCCAUUAAAGCGGUACGCGAGCCGGGUUCAGAACGUCGUGAGACAGUUCGGUCCAUAUCCGGUGCACGCGCAGGAACAUUGAGAGGAUUUCUCCCUAGUACGAGAGGACCGGGAGGAACGCACCUCUGGUGUGCCAGUUAUCGUGCCAACGGUAAACCCUGGGUAGCCAUGUGCGGAGUGGAUAACCGCUGAAAGCAUCUAAGUGGGAAGCCCACCUCAAGAUGAGUGUUCCCAUGGCAUAAGCCAGUAAGGUCACGGGAAGAACACCCGUUGAUAGGCUCUACGUGGAAGCCGGGUAACCGGUGAAGCGGAGGAGUACUAAUAGACCGAGGGCUUGACC
This 1348-nucleotide ribosomal RNA is filed under the name metagenome. RNAcentral's name for it is "bacterial LSU rRNA". It matches the Rfam family "Bacterial large subunit ribosomal RNA", at positions 1564 to 2925 of the family's 2925-position model. The record is from RNAcentral.